CUGGCGGCGUGCUUAACACAUGCAAGUCGAACGAGAAUCAUAUGACGGAGUUUACGGACAACUGAUUAUGAGGAAGGUGGCGGACGGGUGAGUAACGCGUGAGGAACCUGCCUCGGAGUGGGGGAUAACACAUCGAAAGGUGUGCUAAUGCCGCAUAAUGUAUAUCAUUCGCAUGGGAGAUAUACCAAAGAUUUAUUGCUCUGAGAUGGCCUCGCGUCUGAUUAGCUAGUUGGUGAGGUAACGGCCCACCAAGGCGACGAUCAGUAACCGGACUGAGAGGUUGAACGGCCACAUUGGGACUGAGACACGGCCCAGACUCCUACGGGAGGCAGCAGUGGGGAAUAUUGCGCAAUGGGGGGAAAAACCCCUGACGCAGCAACGCCGCGUGAAGGAUGAAGGUUUUCGGAUUGUAAACUUCUUUGACGAGGGACGAACAAAAUGACGGUACCUCGAAAACAAGCUCCGGCUAACUACGUGCCAGCCGCGGC
RNAcentral lists this ribosomal RNA (488 nucleotides) under uncultured bacterium. RNAcentral's name for it is "bacterial SSU rRNA". It matches the Rfam family "Bacterial small subunit ribosomal RNA", at positions 36 to 518 of the family's 1533-position model. The record is from RNAcentral.